RNAcentral lists this ribosomal RNA (465 nucleotides) under uncultured bacterium. RNAcentral describes it as "partial 16S ribosomal RNA". It matches the Rfam family "Bacterial small subunit ribosomal RNA", at positions 28 to 507 of the family's 1533-position model. The record is from RNAcentral.
GACGAACGCUGGCGGCGUGCUUAACACAUGCAAGUCGAACGGAAAGGCCCUGCUUGCAGGGGACUCGGGUGGCGAACGGGUGAGUGACACGUGGGAGGUGUGCCCUGCACUUCGGGAUAAGCCUUGACAACAGGGACGAAUAGCGGAUAUGGCCUUCCAUGUAGUGGGGGGGUGGGAAGGAUGUAUCGGUGGGGGAUGGGCGGGCGGCCGAUCAGCCUGUUGGUGGGGUAAUGGCCUACCAAGGGGUCGACGGGUGGCGGGGCUGGGAGGGGGGACGGCCACGUUGGGACUGAGAUACGGCCCAGACUCCUACGGGAGGCAGCAGUGGGGAAUAUUGCACAAUGGGCGGAAGCCUGAUGCAGCGACGCCGCGUGGGGGAUGACGGCCUUCGGGUUGUAAACCUCUUUCGACAGGGACGAAGCGUGGGUGACGGGAACUGGAGAAGAAGCACCGGCUAACUACGUG